CCCGCUGAACUUAAGCAUAUCAAUAAGCGGAGGAAAAGAAACCAACAGGGAUUCCCUUAGUAACGGCGAGUGAAGCGGGAAAAGCUCAAAUUUAAAAUCUCCUAGGUUCCCUAGGCGAAUUGUGAGUUUCUAGAAGCGUUUUCUGAGGUGGCCUCGGUCCAAGUCUGCUGGAAGGCAGCGCCAUAGAGGGUGAUAGCCCCGUAGGAUCCUGAACCAUUUCUUUAUGAUUGCGUCUUCAAAGAGUCGUACAGUUUGAGAAUGCUGUGCUAAAUGGGAGGUAAAUAUCUUCUAAAGCUAAAUAUUGGCGUGAGACCGAUAGCGAACAAGUACCGUGAGGGAAAGAUGAAAAGAACUUUGAAAAGAGAGUUAAAUAGUACGUGAAAUUGUCUAAAGUGAAACGUUUGAAACUAGUAUCGGGAGAUUACGGACAACCGCAAGGUGCAUUCGUGGUUUCCUGUGCCAGCGACGGUUUCGUUUGCUGUAAAUGCUCCUGGGAAUGUAGCUUCGGUGUUAUAGCUCAGGGUGAGUGCUGUGGAUGGGACCGAUGAUCGCCACUGCCUUGGGGAAGCAGCUGCCUCGAAGCAAGCGAUGCUAGACAACUUGUUGUACUAGUGUCGUCUUUUGUUAGGGACCGGUUGUGUCCCACUUACAGUGUAGGUUGCUGGUGAAAUAGUUUUAAGCGACCCGUCUUGAAACACGG
RNAcentral lists this ribosomal RNA (700 nucleotides) under uncultured fungus. Its description in RNAcentral is "eukaryotic LSU rRNA". It matches the Rfam family "Eukaryotic large subunit ribosomal RNA", at positions 24 to 664 of the family's 3401-position model. Lineage: Eukaryota; Fungi. The record is from RNAcentral.